AGUGAACGCUGGCGGUAGGCCUAACACAUGCAAGUCGAACGGCAGCACAGUAAGAGCUUGCUCUUACGGGUGGCGAGUGGCGGACGGGUGAGGAAUACAUCGGAAUCUACUUUUUCGUGGGGGAUAACGUAGGGAAACUUACGCUAAUACCGCAUACGACCUACGGGUGAAAGCAGGGGAUCUUCGGACCUUGCGCGAUUGAAUGAGCCGAUGUCGGAUUAGCUAGUUGGCGGGGUAAAGGCCCACCAAGGCGACGAUCCGUAGCUGGUCUGAGAGGAUGAUUCACCAAACUGGGAACUGGGACACGUCCCAGAUCCUAACGGGAGCCAGCAGUGGGGAAUUUUGGACAAGGGGGGCAAGCCUGACCCAGCCAUCCCGGGGGGUUGAAGAAGGCCUUCGGUUUGUAAAGCCCUUUUGUUGGGAAAGAAAAGCAGCAGUUAAUACCCCGCUGUUCUGACGGUACCCAAAGAAUAAGCACCGGCUAACUUCGUG
Molecule: ribosomal RNA, 492 nt
Filed under: uncultured bacterium
Lineage: Bacteria
Description: partial 16S ribosomal RNA
Rfam family: Bacterial small subunit ribosomal RNA
Source: RNAcentral